Sesamum indicum (sesame) is the source of this 1238-nucleotide non-coding RNA. NCBI's taxonomy places the organism in Eukaryota, Viridiplantae, Streptophyta, Magnoliopsida, Lamiales, Pedaliaceae. The record is from RefSeq and is a predicted model, not a curated record.
UUAUCUUUUCCAUGAACAUUUAUUUGACUGGACCCAGGGUGUACGGAAAGAGACCUUAAUAAAAUAAUGGUUCUGAUUGGUUGCUCAAGUGACUUCCUUAGAGGUAAUCGAGUGUGUUAACUUCAUCUGCUUGUCUCGCUACUGGUGAUGUUUCCUAUCAUUUACUUUCUUGGUUUUUGGUUCCCAAUCCCUUUGUCUGAUAUCCUUGGCUGACAAUCUAUAAAUACUGAUUCCUGCUUCUGGACAUGAAAAAAAACAUGGGAGGCUCAGCUGAGGCAUCAUGGCGAAAAGAUUUGAGAAAUUUCAGAUUGAUGCUCUCAACUUGGCUUUUGAAGAGUCGGAUCACUUGACAAAAGAGAAGAAGAUUGAGCUGAUGAGGGCUACAGGACUGGAUAUGGAGCAAAUAACUAGUUGGUUCAAUCGGAGAAGGUCCCAGAAACGUGCCAGGGAGUCUAGAGGUGACUUGGAAAGAACCAAUGCUGAGCUCCAACAAGCUCUGCAGGAGAGCAAAGAGAGGGAGGCCAGGCUCCAACAGGAGCUUGAAGAGAGCAGGAGAAGGGAAGUUGAGCUUGGUGCUGUAAUCCAUCAUUUAAGACAGCAACUAGGAGUUGUAGAAGCUGAUUCAGGCAUUGAUCCGGAUCUAAGGUUUGUGAAUGAACAUACAAGAACUUAAGUUUGUAAUAGAACUGGAUUUAUUGUCAUAAUCCAAACUUUCUGACAAAAUCGAUCGACCGAAACCACAGUCAUGAGCAAAUGCAUAAAUAUACUCCUGAAAGAUAAGUGGAUAUUGGAAGUCGUGUAAGAAGUUGGUGACCUUAUGACAGGGGAGCCGGUGAUCGAAGCCCCAGUGAAUGGCGUCUUCUUCAAAUAAGCUCUUGCCUCCUCUUUCAAAGGGUUUUUAGUUCCCCAUUAUCUGAUAAAACUUGAUUUAAGAUGGAGGUGGUAGGAACCUGAUUAGCUACGCCGUAUAUGUCGGCUGCUGGUGCUGGCUGGCAGCAGAAGGGACAUCAAGAAUGGUGACGGGGUUUUUAGUUUGGCUUGGUAAGGUUUUAUAUUACGCUUCCGAAAGGUCAAUUUGAUGACAUACGAAGAAUGUUAUUGUUUACUCUUUUUGCUCCAAGAAUCAAAUGUUUCCAUCAAUUUCAGAAUUCUAUAGUUUAUGUAUAGUUGGAGAAGAUCUGCACAGAUCUGAAAAAGAGUAUACGUAUAAACAUCCUAUAAGUGUAAGAAAAUGAAGC